GAACCAGGACACCAAGAAGUGAAGUACUGAGUGAGUUUAAACUCCAACUUACAGACGACUGUGAAAGAAGGAGAAACAGUGUGACGAAGCCUCUCGAGCCCCAGAGAAAAGAGUCCAGUCGAACCUUCAAAGCAGAGACUGUGUCGGCCUCCUGAUCUGAACCUGGGCUCUGGUUCCACAUGAGAGGCUGAGGCCACCUGAGAGCUGAGCGUCAGUCUGGAAGAGGUUGAACAGGUUUGUUCUUGUUGCUGGUUUCUCUCUCAGCUGACUGAAGAUGAGUGAUGUGGAUGAAGAGGAGGACAGACCAGAGUCUGUGGACAGGAGAUGCAGACCAAUUUGUGUCCAGC
Long non-coding RNA from Salarias fasciatus (jewelled blenny), 347 nucleotides. RefSeq lists it as uncharacterized. Lineage: Eukaryota; Metazoa; Chordata; Actinopteri; Blenniiformes; Blenniidae. The record is from RefSeq and is a predicted model, not a curated record. The transcript is spliced from 3 exons.